CACAAAAGACCUAAAUGACACAGACAUUAACAACUAUAGGUCACCGUACGGCCUUCAACAAUGAGCAAAGCCCAUACCGCAUAGUGAGCUAUAAAAGGCCCCGAUAAGAUAAUGUAAAACCAUUCAAACGAGAAAACUAACGGCCUUAUUUAUGUAAAAAAAUGAACGAAAAACAAAUAUGUAACACAUAAACAAACGACAACCACUGAAUUACAGGCUCCUGACUUUGGACAGGC
This 236-nucleotide long non-coding RNA is filed under the name Mytilus galloprovincialis (Mediterranean mussel). Lineage: Eukaryota; Metazoa; Mollusca; Bivalvia; Mytilida; Mytilidae. The record is from RNAcentral.